RNAcentral lists this small RNA (597 nucleotides) under Pongo abelii (Sumatran orangutan). RNAcentral describes it as "retained intron". The record is from RNAcentral. Lineage: Eukaryota; Metazoa; Chordata; Mammalia; Primates; Hominidae.
GUUGAUUCCAGCUCAAGGCGCUCAUAGUUACCCCUAUUUUCUUUCUCAGAUAUUUGAGAAACAUUAGUUGUAGGGUUUCUCAUUAGCAGAAUGUGGCACCAGUUUGCUCAAUGGUGUAGAUCUGGGGAUUUUAAUAAAAUAAAGUAUAUUAAUGAUUCUACUUAGUUACUGAAGUUUGCCUUUCCCUAAAUAUAAAUAUUUAGGAGACACAUCAAGGAUGUUUAGGAGAACAAAGAGCUAUGACAGCCUGCUGACUACCUUAAUUGGCGCUGGAAUCCGAAUUCUUUUCAGUUCCUGCCAAGAAGAAACUGCAGAUUUGCUAAAGGAACUGUCUUUAGUGGAACAAAGAAAGAAUGUUGGUAUUCAUGUUCCAACAGUGGUGAAUAGUAAUAAAAGUGAGGCACUCCGGUUUUAUUUAAGUAUUCCCAAUAUAAGUUAUGUAACUGCAUUAAAUAUGUGUCACCAGUUUUCAUCUGUGAAAAGGAUGGCUAACAGCUCACUUCAAGAAAUCUCCAUGUAUGCACAAGUAACUCAUCAGAAGGCUGAGGAGAUCUAUAGAUAUAUUCACUAUGUAUUUGACAUACAAAUGUUACCAAA